UACGUAGGUGGAAAAUUAAGUCAGUAGUGAAAUCCUGCAGCUUAACUGUAGAACUGUUAUUGAUACUGGUUUUCUUGAAUAUAGUUGAGGUAGGCGGAAUGUGUAAUGUAGCGGUGAAAUGCUUAGAUAUUACACAGAACACCGAUUGCGAAGGCAGCUUACUAAGCUAUGAUUGACGCUGAGGUACGAAAGCGUGGGGAGCGAACAGGAUUAGAUACCCUGGUAGUCC
RNAcentral lists this ribosomal RNA (229 nucleotides) under uncultured bacterium. Its description in RNAcentral is "partial 16S ribosomal RNA". It matches the Rfam family "Bacterial small subunit ribosomal RNA", at positions 568 to 796 of the family's 1533-position model. The record is from RNAcentral.